AGGAGGCGGCGGGGGAAAGCCAGGCAAGCGGAGGAGGCGGCGGCGGCGGCGGGCCCGGCCGGAGCCGCCGACUCACCCCGAGAAGGCGGCGGGCCCGGCAGGGGAAGGCCAGGGAAGACGGCGACGGCGGCCCGGCGAGGCGAGUGGCCGCCCCGAAGAAGCGAAGCCUGCAGGAGGCGGUGGACGGAUUUGUCACUGAGCAGAAGGAUGAGGACCAUAUCUCUACGGAAUGGAACUGAUGCCUGUCAUGACUCUGAACAGUCCAGUCACAUACCACGAGCCUCCCGCAGUGGUUCUUAUUCUUGCCCAACAGCUGCCUUCCUUCUAGCACCCAGCCUCACGGGUCAUGGGAUCAACUUAUCUAUUGAUCUGAUCUUGGUGUUCAUUCCCUGCCUGCAAGGCAAAGGAGACUUCCAGGUGCUUGAAGAGAACCUCAAGAUAUGGAGUUCAGCAGGACAGCUGUCCACGCUCAGGAAAAGCCGGCCAAAAAAGCAAAAUAUGAGAGUUCUUCCUUCAAAUAGGAGAGGCAGUUUGUCUUUGCUGUGGACCUUGAGUGGGUUGGAGCUCUGUUUGAAUUCUGGUCUUCACCCCCACUCAAGGGAUGAGAGAGGUAUGUUGUUUAAAUCAGCUGCUGAAAACUGACUUCUUUCUUGGGGACAUUAUUAAUAAUCUAAAACCAAAGUUGUUUUUCAAAAGGGAGAGUAUUCACAUUUAUGAAUGGUUAUACAAAAUGCUUGACUGUAAGAUUAUAUAAUCCUGCUGGUUACACUGAGGCUGAACAUUUCCUGCCUUAGCUUUUUCACAAAGUGGCUCAGAAACUAGAAUGUGAUAGGAGUAGCAAAGGAUGAAUCGGCGUGUCACAUGCCGAGGACCCUGUAGAAGCAGGAAGUUCAGUUAAAAAACAGAUCCUACGGUGCUGAAAGGCCAUCAUCAUCUCACACUAAGUGGGAGGAGGUAAUGGUAAACCCCUCCUGUAUUCUACCAAAGAAAACCACAGGGCUCCGUGUGGGGCCAGGAGUCGAAAUUGACUCAAUGGCACAUUUUACCUUUACCUUACUUUGCCCAGUUAGCAGGAAGAUAAUUAUCAAUGAUAAUGGUAAUCAUUAUCAGCUGCAAGUGUCUAUGAAGCAACAGAUACAGAGUCUACUUCUUAUGCAGAUCAGUUUGUGCAAUGCAGGUUUAAUAAAGUUCAGUGAUACGUACUCCCACAUAAGCAUCCACACAGCAUUGUAUCUGUAGGUGAAGACAAUUAUAGCAUUUUAAAGCCAUUGUGAGAGCACUGGACAGUGCCAGGAAUCCCCUCCCUGGUGGAAUGAGUGGGGUAUGAGUUGUGGCUCAGAGAGGGCCAAGAGGCAGCCCGCAGCCACUGCCAGCAGGCCUCCUUGUCACACAUCCACCUGUGCUUCCACUCUCUCCAUCACACACUUCUGAUUGGAUGUUUGCUUGGCCAGGCUAGGCACUUGGCUCUCUUUUCUUGUGCCACUUUUAGCCCCUUUGGCGGCACAUGAGAGCAGAGAGAGUGUGAAGUUACCAGUCAUGGCUGUAUUGCAAGGCAUAGAAAGUGGCAGGAGCAGGUGUCCACCUGCAAUGGAGCUCAGUGACAGGAUUGACAACAGUGGAGGUUAGAGAAUGGACACGUACUGUGGGGAAUGGGACCUAAAGGGCCAAACCGGGGGGGGGGGAAUGCUGGGAGGUAGGAGCAAGGAGAAGCUGGAGAUGAUGAGAAAAAGGAGGAGGUGCUGAAGCAUCAAGGGGGUGAUGCAUCUCGAGGACUAAAUUUGGACCUAGGUUCAUCAUUCUAACAAGCACAGCUGGUGGACAAACUAGCAGUCGAAAGGGAAAAUGAGGUUUUAAAAUUAUUAUUAUAGCAUGCUUUUCUCAUAAAGACCAAAUAUAAUAAGCAAUGUAAGUCAGGAAUUUCUGCUUAAAUUUUAUUCAUACUACACCAGCUUCUUCUUUACCAGCUUGAGUUAGUUACUCCAAAAAUGUAUUUAAAUUAGAGCAUAUUCCAGUGUGAAAGGUAGUGCAUUCAGCUAAUUUGUGACAAGAUUGUGUAUGCAAAAUUUGGUAUCUGUAAGCCAUUGGAAAGUAUGGUUUUAUUUCACCGAAAUUCUUCAAAAUAUAUAAUAAACACAUUGUACAUUGAA
Hemicordylus capensis (graceful crag lizard) is the source of this 2147-nucleotide long non-coding RNA. RefSeq lists it as uncharacterized. The transcript is spliced from 2 exons. Lineage: Eukaryota; Metazoa; Chordata; Lepidosauria; Squamata; Cordylidae. The record is from RefSeq and is a predicted model, not a curated record.